GUGAGGAAUAUUGCGCAAUGGGCGAAAGCCUGACGCAGCGACGCCGCGUGGGGGAUGAAGGUCUUCGGAUUGUAAAUCCCUUUCGGGCGGGAAGAUGGGAUGGGGUAACCCAUUCGGAUGGUACCUCCAGAAGCAGCCACGGCUAACUUCGUGCCAGCAGCCGCGGUAAUACGAAGGUGGCAAGCGUUGUUCGGAUUUACUGGGCGUACAGGGAGCGUAGGCGGUUGGGUAAGCCCUCCGUGAAAUCUCCAGGCUUAACCUGGAAAGUGCAGAGGGGACUGCUCAGCUAGAGGAUGGGAGAGGAGCGCGGAAUUCCCGGUGUAGCGGUGAAAUGCGUAGAGAUCGGGAGGAAGGCCGGUGGCGAAGGCGGCGCUCUGGAACAUUUCUGACGCUGAGGCUCGAAAGCGUGGGGAGCAA
This 417-nucleotide ribosomal RNA is filed under the name uncultured bacterium. RNAcentral describes it as "bacterial SSU rRNA". It matches the Rfam family "Bacterial small subunit ribosomal RNA", at positions 354 to 771 of the family's 1533-position model. The record is from RNAcentral.